This 492-nucleotide ribosomal RNA is filed under the name uncultured bacterium. RNAcentral describes it as "partial 16S ribosomal RNA". It matches the Rfam family "Bacterial small subunit ribosomal RNA", at positions 28 to 505 of the family's 1533-position model. The record is from RNAcentral.
GACGAACGCUGGCGGCGUGCUUAACACAUGCAAGUCGAACGGUGAAGCGCCUUCCUUUUUGGUGGGUGUGGAUGAGUGGCGAACGGGUGAGUAACACGUGAGUAACCUGCCCCCUUCUUCUGGAUAACCGCAUGAAAGUGUGGCUAAUACGGGAUAUUCUGGGUCUGUCGCAUGAUGGGUCUGGGAAAGAUAUUGUUUCGGUGGGGGAUGGGCUCGCGGCCUAUCAGCUUGUUGGUGGGGUGAUGGUCUACCAAGGCGGUGACGGGUAGCCGGCCUGAGAGGGUGGACUGUCACACUGGGACUGAGACACGGCCCAGACUCCUACGGGCGGCAGCAGUGGGGAAUAUUGCACAAUGGGCGCAAGCCUGAUGCAGCGACGCCGCGUGAGGGAUGGAGGCCUUCGGGUUGUGAACCUCUUUCGCCAGUGAAGCAGGCCUGCCUCGUUUGUGGGUGGGUUGACGGUAGCUGGAUAAGAAGCGCCGGCUAACUACG